This 1472-nucleotide ribosomal RNA is filed under the name human gut metagenome. Its description in RNAcentral is "bacterial LSU rRNA". It matches the Rfam family "Bacterial large subunit ribosomal RNA", at positions 659 to 2236 of the family's 2925-position model. The record is from RNAcentral.
GGUGGAGGCGCAGCGAAAGCGAGUCUGAACAGGGCGUUCAGUUCGUGGCUUUAGACCCGAAACCGAGUGAUCUAGCCAUGUGCAGGAUGAAGGUGGGGUAACACCCACUGGAGGUCCGAACCAGUGCCCGUUGAAAAGGUCUUGGAUGACGUGUGGCUAGGGGUGAAAGGCCAAUCAAACUCGGAAAUAGCUGGUUCUCCGCGAAAGCUAUUUAGGUAGCGCCUCGCGUGAAUACCUCACGGGGUAGAGCACUGGAUGGGCUAGGGCCGCCCACAGCGGUACCAAACCCAACCAAACUCCGAAUACGUGAGAGUACUGCGCGGGAGACACACGGCGGGUGCUAACGUCCGUCGUGGAGAGGGAAACAACCCUGACCGACAGCUAAGGCCCCCAAUUCGUGGCUAAGUGGGAAAGGAUGUGGGACUCCCAAAACAACCAGGAGGUUGGCUUAGAAGCAGCCAUCCUUUAAAGAAAGCGUAACAGCUCACUGGUCUAAAUAAGGGGUCCUGCGCCGAAAAUGUAACGGGGCUCAAGCCACGAGCCGAAGCUUCGGAUUCACUCCUUCGGGGGUGAGUGGUAGCGGAGCGUUCCCUAGGCCUGUGAAGCGGUACCUGUGAGGGGCCGUGGAGGUAUGGGAAGUGCGAAUGCUGACAUGAGUAACGACAAAGAGUGUGAAAGACACUCUCGCCGAAAGUCCAAGGGUUCCUGCGUAAAGUUAAUCUGCGCAGGGUUAGCCGGCCCCUAAGGCGAGGCCGAAAGGCGUAGUCGAUGGGAACGGGGCGAACAUUCCCCGGCCAGCGGAUGGUGACGGAUGCCGUGUAUCGUUUGACCUUAUCGGAUUGGUCAGGCGGUGAAGGGGUCCCAGGAAAUAGCCUCCGCGUAAGACCGUACCCGAAACCGACACAGGUGGACUGGUAGAGUAUACCAAGGCGCUUGAGAGAACGAUGCUGAAGGAACUCGGCAAUUUGCCUCCGUAACUUCGGGAUAAGGAGGCCUCUGUUUUACGCAAGUAGGGCAGAGGGGCACAGACCAGGGGGUGGCGACUGUUUAUCUAAAACACAGGGCUCUGCGAAGUCUGUAAGACGACGUAUAGGGCCUGACGCCUGCCCGGUGCCGGAAGGUUAAGAGGAGAGGUGAGAGCUUUGAAUCGAAGCCCCGGUAAACGGCGGCCGUAACUAUAACGGUCCUAAGGUAGCGAAAUUCCUUGUCGGGUAAGUUCCGACCUGCACGAAUGGCGUAACGAUCUCCCCGCUGUCUCCAGCAUCGGCUCAGUGAAAUUGAAUUCCCCGUGAAGAUGCGGGGUUCCUGCGGUCAGACGGAAAGACCCCGUGCACCUUUACUGUAGCUUUGCGCUGGCCUUCGUGUCGGCAUGUGUAGGAUAGGUGGUAGGCUAUGAAGCCGGGGCGUCAGCCUUGGUGGAGCCGUCCUUGAAAUACCACCCUUGGCGAUAUGGUGGUCUAACCGCGACCCUU